This 486-nucleotide ribosomal RNA is filed under the name uncultured bacterium. Its description in RNAcentral is "bacterial SSU rRNA". It matches the Rfam family "Bacterial small subunit ribosomal RNA", at positions 28 to 507 of the family's 1533-position model. The record is from RNAcentral.
GACGAACGCUGGCGGCGUGGAUUAGGCAUGCAAGUCGAACGGUAUCACCUUUCGGGGGUGAGAGAGUGGCGAACUGGUGAGUAACACGUAGGUUAUCUACCCUCAAGACGGGGACAACCCAGGGAAACUUGGGCUAAAUACCGGAUGUGAGCAACUUUAGUUGUUUGAAAGGUGGCGUAAGCUGUCGCUUGGGGAUGAGCCUGCGUCCUAUUAGUUAGUUGGUGAGGUAACGGCUCACCUAGGCAAUGAUAGGUAGGCGGCCUUAACGGGUGGUCGCCCACACUGGGAUUGAGAUACGGCCCAGACUCCUACGGGAGGCAGCAGUCGAGAAUAGUCUACAAUGGUCGGAAGACUGAUAGUGCGACGCCGCGUGAACGAUGAAUCCCUUCGGGGUGUAAAGUUCUUUUAUAUGUGAGCAGUGCUUCUUAUAUUAACAGUAUGGGGAGAGAGAUAUUAGCAUAUGAAUAAGCAACGGCUAACUCCGUG